Molecule: ribosomal RNA, 1199 nt
Filed under: Bacillus pumilus
Lineage: Bacteria; Bacillati; Bacillota; Bacilli; Caryophanales; Bacillaceae
Description: bacterial SSU rRNA
Rfam family: Bacterial small subunit ribosomal RNA
Source: RNAcentral
CCAGCCGGUGCCCUAUUCAUGCAGUUCGAGCGCGAGAUAUUCUAUGAUCUCUUCGGAGUGAUUAGGAUGGAUCGAGCGGCGGACGGGUGAGUAACACGUGGGUAACCUGCCUGUAAGACUAGGAUAACUCCGGGAAACCGGAGCUAAUACCGGAUAGUUCCUUGAACCGCAUGGUUCAAGGAUGAAAGACGGUUUCGGCUGUCACUUACAGAUGGACCCGCGGCGCAUUAGCUAGUUGGUGGGGUAAUGGCUCACCAAGGCGACGAUGCGUAGCCGACCUGAGAGGGUGAUCGGCCACACUGGGACUGAGACACGGCCCAGACUCCUACGGGAGGCAGCAGUAGGGAAUCUUCCGCAAUGGACGAAAGUCUGACGGAGCAACGCCGCGUGAGUGAUGAAGGUUUUCGGAUCGUAAAGCUCUGUUGUUAGGGAAGAACAAGUGCGAGAGUUAACUGCUCGCACCUUGACGGUACCUAACCAGAAAGCCACGGCUAACUACGUGCCAGCAGCCGCGGUAAUACGUAGGUGGCAAGCGUUGUCCGGAAUUAUUGGGCGUAAAGGGCUCGCAGGCGGUUUCUUAAGUCUGAUGUGAAAGCCCCCGGCUCAACCGGGGAGGGUCAUUGGAAACUGGGAAACUUGAGUGCAGAAGAGGAGAGUGGAAUUCCACGUGUAGCGGUGAAAUGCGUAGAGAUGUGGAGGAACACCAGUGGCGAAGGCGACUCUCUGGUCUGUAACUGACGCUGAGGAGCGAAAGCGUGGGGAGCGAACAGGAUUAGAUACCCUGGUAGUCCACGCCGUAAACGAUGAGUGCUAAGUGUUAGGGGGUUUCCGCCCCUUAGUGCUGCAGCUAACGCAUUAAGCACUCCGCCUGGGGAGUACGGUCGCAAGACUGAAACUCAAAGGAAUUGACGGGGGCCCGCACAAGCGGUGGAGCAUGUGGUUUAAUUCGAAGCAACGCGAAGAACCUUACCAGGUCUUGACAUCCUCUGACAACCCUAGAGAUAGGGCUUUCCCAUUCCGGGGACAGAGUGACAGGUGGUGCAUGGUUGUCGUCAGCUCGUGUCGUGAGAUGUUGGGUUAAGUCCCGCAACGAGCGCAACCCUUGAUCUUAGUUGCCAGCAUUUAGUUGGGCACUCUAAGGUGACUGCCGGUGACAAACCGGAGGAAGGUGGGGAUGACGUCAAAUCAUCAUGGCCCCU